GACGAACGCUGGCGGCGUGCUUAACACAUGCAAGUCGAACGGAAAGGCCCUGCUUGCAGGGUACUCGAGUGGCGAACGGGUGAGUAACACGUGGGUGAUCUGCCCUGCACUUCGGGAUAAGCCUGGGAAACUGGGUCUAAUACCGGAUAGGAGCCAUUUUUAGUGUGAUGGUUGGAAAGUUUUUUCGGUGUAGGAUGAGCUCGCGGCCUAUCAGCUUGUUGGUGGGGUAAUGGCCUACCAAGGCGGCGACGGGUAGCCGGCCUGAGAGGGUGGACGGCCACAUUGGACUGAGAUACGGCCCAGACUCCUACGGGAGGCAGCAGUGGGGAAUAUUGCACAAUGGGCGCAAGCCUGAUGCAGCGACGCCGCGUGGGGGAUGACGGCCUUCGGGUUGUAAACUCCUUUCGCUAGGGACGAAGCUUUUUGUGACGGUACCUAGAUAAGAAGCACCGGCUAACUACGUG
Molecule: ribosomal RNA, 464 nt
Filed under: uncultured bacterium
Lineage: Bacteria
Description: partial 16S ribosomal RNA
Rfam family: Bacterial small subunit ribosomal RNA
Source: RNAcentral